RNAcentral lists this ribosomal RNA (451 nucleotides) under uncultured Streptococcus sp. RNAcentral's name for it is "bacterial SSU rRNA". It matches the Rfam family "Bacterial small subunit ribosomal RNA", at positions 929 to 1382 of the family's 1533-position model. Lineage: Bacteria; Bacillati; Bacillota; Bacilli; Lactobacillales; Streptococcaceae. The record is from RNAcentral.
GCGGUGGAGCAUUGUGGUUUAAUUCGAAGCAACGCGAAGAACCUUUACCAGGUCUUGACAUCCCGAUGCUAUUUCUGGAGAUAGAAAGUUACUUCGGUACAUCGGUGACAGGUGGUGCAUGGUUGUCGUCAGCUCGUGUCGUGAGAUGUUGGGUUAAGUCCCGCAACGAGCGCAACCCCUAUUGUUAGUUGCCAUCAUUCAGUUGGGCACUCUAGCGAGACUGCCGGUAAUAAACCGGAGGAAGUGGGAUGACGUCAAUCAUCAUGCCCCUUAUGACCUGGGCUACACACGUGCUACAAUGGUUGGUACAACGAGUUGCGAGUCGGUGACGGCGAGCUAAUCUCUUAAAGCCAAUCUCAGUUCGGAUUGUAGGCUGCAACUCGCCUACAUGAAGUCGGAAUCGCUAGUAAUCGCGGAUCAGCACGCCGCGGUGAAUACGUUCCCGGGCCUU